Canis lupus familiaris (dog) is the source of this 2436-nucleotide long non-coding RNA. RefSeq lists it as uncharacterized. NCBI's taxonomy places the organism in Eukaryota, Metazoa, Chordata, Mammalia, Carnivora, Canidae. The record is from RefSeq and is a predicted model, not a curated record. The transcript is spliced from 3 exons.
UUUGGGAUCAAAGGAAGCACGCGGCACACAGCAGGCCGCCCUCAGCGCGCAGGCCUGAAGCCGGCACCAGCGGGGGGUGACCCGCUGAGGGAACCGGGCAGGUGGUUCCUUGGGCCCCGUGCGCGGUGCCAGUUAACUUCCCAGGGACGGGCCCUGAAGGACCGGACUUGUCGCAGAGCGAGCGACAAGACCGCAGGUGGGGAGCUGGCUGCCGCAGAGCGCGGCUGGGGGCGAGGCGGUGCCUCCUAGCGGGUCCCGGGCACGGUUUGCCUGACUUCAGCAGAAACGCGCGGCAGAUAACCCGGAGCCGCGCGAGCACCUGCAAUGGAAGAAUCCGGAAUCAUAAGUAAUGGGCCUAAAUUGGCAGGCUUUCAUGAAAGUCCCACCAAUCUCCAAGUAUACAGCUGCCAUGGGUCACGUAAAAUGGCUCACCUCGGCUGUUGGGGCGCAAAGGCAGCCGCGGACGGCGGCGUCAACGGUACUGCUGUGAUCUGAUAGAACUCGACCUGCUGACGCUGGCCUUGGAGUUCCACAUCAUUUUCACAUCUUAUGAAACAUUCUCCUUUUAGCUUUUCUCUAACAUGUAAAAAUGUAAAGGCCAUUCUCGGCUCAUCGGCAGAGCAAAAACAGUUGGUUUUCAGACCCCUGAAAUGAUAUGAGGAUUCUCUGCAGCCAUCAUGUACCCAUUUUCAGCAAAAACCAACUCCCGGUCAAUCUUGUUUUUUGUCUCCUCCUGUUCCUUUUUCCUCCCGGCAGCAGUGUUGGAAGCCAAGCUCUAAUGAACAAAUGAUUUCAUCCAUAUCUGCAUUUCAGUAUUUGCCUCUAAAAGAGUUCUCUGGUUUUAAACAUAAACCCACAAUGUCAUUAUCACAUCUGAAAAUAUUGACAAUAACUCCUUAAUAUCAUAAAAUUUCCAAUUAGUAUUCGUUUUUUUUCCAACUGUCUCAUAAAUGUGUACGAUUAUAGAUUUUGUGUUUUCUUCCCUAUAGCUUGUUUGGCUAGGAUCUAGAUGACACCCUUAAAUGGCAAUUGCUUGAUCUGUCCCCUAAGCCUCCUCAUCUACGAGUUCUUUCUAUCUCUGUCUUGUUUUUCUUUACAAGUGAUUUGUUGAAGAAAUUGUGUUCUGUUCUGCAGGGUUUCCUAUAGUCUGUAUUUCUGAUUACACCCUUGUGUCGUUGUUGGAUAUAUUCCUUUGUUCUCCGAAUUUCCUAUAAUACAGUGCUAUUUUCUGCUAUUUGGAAGUUAGAGGUAAGAGCUUGAUGAGAUUCAAGUUUUCUUUUGUUUUUGGUUCAUUUUUGGGGGGUAAGAUUACUCUAUGGGUGGUACUGUGUUCUUCUGUCAGGGGGUACAUAACGUGUGGUUGUUUCUCUUUUUGUGUGUUGGCAGCUAUUGAUGAUUAUUGCCUAGAUCGAUCCCAUUUUUUUUUUAAAAAGACUUUUUUAAAGUAGUUUUAGAUUUACAGAAUAAUUGAGCAAUUAGUACAGAGAGUUCCCGUAUGCACCCUCCUCCUCAGUUUCCCUAUCAUGAACAUCUUGCUUUAGUGUGGUAUGUUUGUUACAAGUGAUGAACCAAUACCAGUAUUUUCUUGUUUUGUCCACAAUUUACAUUAAGACGCAUUCUUUGUACAAUGCUAUGGUUUUGACAAAUGGCAUAAUGACAUGGACCCACCAUUGCAGGAUCAUGCAGAACAGUUUCACUGCCUUAAAAAUCCUCUGUGCUCCACCUCUCUAUCCACCUCUGCACCUCUAAACCCCCGGUGACCAAUGAUCUUUAUACUGUCUCCAUAGUUUGGUCUUUUCCAUAAGGUCACUUAGCUGGAAUCAUAUAGCGUAUAGACUUUUCAGAUUGACUUCUUUCACUUAGCAACAUGUUAUGUUUUUCCCAUGUCUCUCUGUGGUUUGAUAGCUCCUUUUUAUUGCUGAAUAAUAUCCUGUUGUAUGGAUGUACCACAGUUUGUUUACUCAUUUAACUUAUACUGAAGGUUCCAGUUUGGGGCAAGUAUGAAUGAAAUUGCUAUCAAUAUUUGUGUGCAGGCUUUUGUGUGGACAUAAGUUUUCAACUCAAUUGGGCAAAUACCAAGAAGCAGGAUUUUCUGGAUCAUGUGGUAUGAAUCUGCUUCCCUUCUAAGAAACUGCCAAGCUGUCUUCCCAGUGGUCGUGCCAUUUUUGCAUUCCCACUGGCUAUGAAUGAGGAUACCUGAUGUCCCAUUGGCUGGCUAGCUUUUGAUCUUGUCAGUUUUUUGGAUUUGGGCCAUCCUAAUAGAUGUGUAAUGAAAUCUCACUGUUGUUUUAGUUUGUGAUUCUCUAAUGAUGUGAUGUGGAGCAUCUUUUCAUAUCUUUUGUUAUCUGUCUCUUCUUUGGUGAGGUGUCUGUUCAGAUCUUUUGCCCAUUUUUAAAGCAGGUUGUUUGUUUUCUUAUUGUUGAGUUUUAAGAGUUC